GACGAACGCUGGCGGCGUGCUUAACACAUGCAAGUCGAACGGAAAGGCCCUGCUUUUGUGGGGUGCUCGAGUGGCGAACGGGUGAGUAACACGUGAGUAACCUGCCCUUGACUUUGGGAUAACUUCAGGAAACUUGGGCUAAUACCGGAUAGGAGCUCCUGCUGCAUGGUGGGGGUUGGAAAGUUUCGGCGGUUUGGGAUGGACUCGCGGCUUAUCAGCUUGUUUGUGGGGUAGUGGCUUACCAAGGCUUUGACGGGUAGCCGGCCUGAGAGGGUGACCGGACACAUUGGGACUGAGAUACGGCCCAGACUCCUACGGGAGGCAGCAGUGGGGAAUAUUGCACAAUGGGCGGAAGCCUGAUGCAGCAACGCCGCGUGCGGGAUGACGGCCUUCGGGUUGUAAACCGCUUUCGCCUGUGACGAAGCGUGAGUGACGGUAAUGGGUAAAGAAGCACCGGCUAACUACGUG
This 468-nucleotide ribosomal RNA is filed under the name uncultured bacterium. RNAcentral's name for it is "partial 16S ribosomal RNA". It matches the Rfam family "Bacterial small subunit ribosomal RNA", at positions 28 to 507 of the family's 1533-position model. The record is from RNAcentral.